This is a long non-coding RNA of Eptesicus fuscus (big brown bat), 679 nucleotides long. RefSeq lists it as uncharacterized. NCBI's taxonomy places the organism in Eukaryota, Metazoa, Chordata, Mammalia, Chiroptera, Vespertilionidae. The transcript is spliced from 3 exons. The record is from RefSeq and is a predicted model, not a curated record.
GUGUGAGAGUAGGUAGUUAGGAAGAUGUGAGCAGAGGAGAUAAAGAAAUCUUUCCUCCGGGAGACAAGAACCUGGUCCCGCUGAUCCCCAGCGCCGCUGACAGUUUGGACUAAACGCCAGCCCGGAGCCGAUUCAAGAAAGCCCGCAGACGGUUACAACUAUUGCACCUGUAAAUGAUGCUUCGCCAGGGUUUUCAACCCGCGCCCCCCCCCCCACACCCACACACACACAUACGCAGAGACAACUCAACCCCUUGAUCAAGCUGGCCAAAGAUUCUGAUUCUGAGAAACCUACCCUCUGCCCUGACAGACAGCAAGAGAAUGAGACCCAAUCCCCAACUUCGCCCAUUUGUCAGCAGGAAGUAGCCAGAUGAUUGUCUACGUCCAUGAUCUCCCAAUGAAUUGGGUCUCAUAACUCUUGAGGGGGGAAAUGUUAGAGUAGGCAGUUAGGUAGAUAUGAGCAGGGCAGAGAAAGGACAAACUGACCAAAAAACCAUGCUUAAGUAAACAAGGGAAAGGGUGAAUAGAAAACUAAAGCAGCCACCAAAGGCUGAAUGGUACAGGGAGGUUAGUACACAGCAUGGGAGGGGCAAGAAUAAGUCAAAAGCCAGGACUUAGACCCAAUGGGGCACUCCAGCUUCGCUUGAUGUACUUUCGCUUGAAUAAAGCUUUGCUGCUUG